UGUUCUCUGGCUUGUGCGUGGGUUGACCCUAAAAUCUUUGAGCCUAUUUAGAAAACCAAUGGAACCGAUCAGCCGGCGAUGUUGCGCAGGUCCGCACUACAGUGGAAAGCCUGAUUCGCCUCGAGACGUUCCACUCUUGAACCCUUGGUUCAAGAUUACGGUUACCCGCGGCAUGUUGGAGAACAC
This 186-nucleotide non-coding RNA is filed under the name Pseudomonadota bacterium. Its description in RNAcentral is "Proteobacteria bacterium 6S RNA". It matches the Rfam family "6S / SsrS RNA". Rfam says of the family: E. coli 6S RNA was the first non coding RNA to be sequenced, but its function was unknown until recently. It consists of 184 nucleotides that fold into an extended hairpin structure with a large single-stranded internal bulge. The record is from RNAcentral. Lineage: Bacteria; Pseudomonadati; Pseudomonadota.